This 166-nucleotide ribosomal RNA is filed under the name uncultured bacterium. RNAcentral's name for it is "partial 16S ribosomal RNA". It matches the Rfam family "Bacterial small subunit ribosomal RNA", at positions 611 to 776 of the family's 1533-position model. The record is from RNAcentral.
AACCGGAGUAGUGCAUUGGAAACUAGGAGACUUGAGUGCAGAAGAGGAGAGUUGAACUCCAUGUGUAGCGGUGAAAUGCGUAGAUAUAUGGAAGGACACCAGUGGCGAAAGAGGCUCUCUGGUCUGUAACUGACGCUGAGGUUCGAAAGCGUGGGUAGCAAACAGA